This 253-nucleotide ribosomal RNA is filed under the name uncultured bacterium. Its description in RNAcentral is "partial 16S ribosomal RNA". It matches the Rfam family "Bacterial small subunit ribosomal RNA", at positions 524 to 776 of the family's 1533-position model. The record is from RNAcentral.
UACGGAGGAUGCAAGCGUUAUCCGGAAUGAUUGGGCGUAAAGCGUCCGCAGGUGGCUAUGUAAGUCUGCUGUUAAAGAGUGAGGCUCAACCUCAUAAGAGCAGUGGAAACUACAUGGCUAGAGUGCGUUCGGGGCAGAGGGAAUUCCUGGUGUAGCGGUGAAAUGCGUAGGUAUCAGGAAGAACACCGGUGGCGAAAGCGCUCUGCUAGGCCGCAACUGACACUGAGGGACGAAAGCUAGGGGAGCGAAUGGG